AAUAAGUGCAGUUUUACACUAUUCACGUUUAACAUUUGACCGUUCAUCUUAUUUGAAAAUUUUUUAUGAUUAAUAUUUUUAUUGCUAUUAAAUGAUAAAACAUGAAUAGUACUUUAUGCGUGACUAAAUAUUUUCAAAUUUUUCAUAAAUGUUUUAAAUAAGACGAAUGGUCAAAUGUUGGACACGGAUAUCUACGGCUACACUUGGU
RNAcentral lists this microRNA precursor (208 nucleotides) under Oryza rufipogon (brownbeard rice). RNAcentral's name for it is "MIR812 microRNA precursor family". It matches the Rfam family "MIR812 microRNA precursor family". The record is from Rfam by way of RNAcentral. Lineage: Eukaryota; Viridiplantae; Streptophyta; Magnoliopsida; Poales; Poaceae.